GAGCGCCCCCCCCCCUCACUCCUCACGACCCCUCCCCCCAGCACGCUUUCUCCUCUCUCUCUCCAUUGCUCCCUCAGAUCCGCUCCAUUGUAGCCUCAAUCAAGAAAGCGGAGCAUCAAAAUGGAUUGAGGAGGAAGAGAGGAUCGAGGAGAUAGGCGGGAUUUGUGUUUUCCCCAACCUUCCCUUACGGAUUCUCAUGGAGAACCCCGUGGGUUAUUCUUUGAAGCUAGUAUGAAAGGAAGUGGAUUAGUUGCACGCCAUACACUUCUACAUGAUCUCAUAAUGAUUUGGUGCAUAAGUCUGAGUUUGUAUGAUCUUGUAGUAACUUAAAUCAUAUUAGUACAUGAUGUAGAGUGGUCUUUAUGGAGCAUCACGCUUUUCAUAUACAUCUUCCUAUUGUUGCUUCCGUGUCUUGCUUGUAUAUAGGUUUUGCUGCUGAAAUUUAAAUUUUCAGCAUUUGAUAGUGUAGAGUGUAGGAUCUCAGGGUUGCGUGAUACCUGGGGUGUUACAAUCCAUGUGACAUCAUGUAUGGGUUGAGAAUGGCUCGACCGGUGAAGAUGACAUCCAUGCUGAGAUCAGCCUAAAAAAUGCCCUCAAGGUUAUCGAAGAUCAACUUAGUGAGGAGCAGAAGCAAGUGAUUGCUAAGGUUGUCGACGGCUACAAAGAGGCAUGUCUGCAGACAUUCAUUAUGGUCAGCAAGGGGGGCAAGAUAAUCCAGAAGACCAAUUUCCCCACGCCGCGCCAUAUCACGAUCAUAGAAGACCCGGUGAAGUUCCAGGAGAUGUUUGAUCAAGCCAUGCAUCAUGCACUAAUCAACCAAUCAAAUGUUAUGAAACUCUGUCAAGAAUGCCGUUUAUCAGAUGAUGAGUGGCAAAUCCAAACUUGGAUACA
This is a long non-coding RNA of Panicum virgatum (switchgrass), 891 nucleotides long. RefSeq lists it as uncharacterized. The transcript is spliced from 2 exons. The record is from RefSeq and is a predicted model, not a curated record. Lineage: Eukaryota; Viridiplantae; Streptophyta; Magnoliopsida; Poales; Poaceae.